GAUCAAAGUGUAGUAUCUGUUCUUAUCAGCUUAAUAUCUGAUAYGGCUCCCAUCGGGGGCCAAGAUAUUAAUCUUAUUUUUGYCAUGCGGCGGAGAGCUUGAGGCUUGCUUCACCUCCGCCACGGGUUGGC
This 131-nucleotide small nuclear RNA is filed under the name Larifuga capensis. RNAcentral describes it as "partial U2 snRNA". It matches the Rfam family "U2 spliceosomal RNA", at positions 25 to 156 of the family's 192-position model. Rfam says of the family: U2 is a small nuclear RNA (snRNA) component of the spliceosome (involved in pre-mRNA splicing). Complementary binding between U2 snRNA (in an area lying towards the 5' end but 3' to hairpin I) and the branchpoint sequence (BPS) of the intron results the bulging out of an unpaired adenosine, on the BPS, which initiates a nucleophilic attack at the intronic 5' splice site, thus starting the first of two transesterification reactions that mediate splicing. Lineage: Eukaryota; Metazoa; Arthropoda; Arachnida; Opiliones; Triaenonychidae. The record is from RNAcentral.